UAUGUGAUCGUCUCUCGCAUAUCAAUAGCGGAGGAAAAGAAACUAACAAGGAUUCCCCUAGUAACGGCGAGUGAAGCGGGAAGAGCUCAAAUUUGAAAUCUUAAAGGGUUUCCCUUUACGAAUUGUAGUUUAAAGAAGUGUUUUCUGUUGAGGUUUUGGUAAAAGUUCUUUGGAAUAGGACAUCAUAGAGGGUGAGAAUCCCGUAUUUGACCUUUACUUUCAACUUUGUGAUACACUUUCAAAGAGUCGGAUUGUUUGGGAAUGCAGUCCAAAAUGGGUGGUAAAUUUCAUCUAAAGCUAAAUAUUGGCGAGAGACCGAUAGCGAACAAGUACCGUGAGGGAAAGAUGAAAAGAACUUUGAAAAGAGAGUUAAACAGUACGUGAAAUUGUCAAAAGGGAAGCGUUUGACACCAGUGUUGUUUUUCUGAAAAUCAAUUAAAGAACUGUUUAUGCUAAGUUGUUUAGACUUUAUCAGCUAACUGUUUAGUUUUGAGCUUUUCUUUAAUGCACUUUUCAGUUAACAAGUCAACAUCAAUUUCUUUUGCUGUAAAAAAGCUUGAGGAAGGUGGCUUGAGAUUCGUCUUAAGUGUUUAUAGCCUCUUGCCUAUGCAGUCGGAGAGAUUGAGGUCUGCAGCGUAGAUCCUUCGGGGCUAAAUGCAUUUGUGCUAAGUUAUAGCAUUUUAUAGACAACUUGUUGACUAUGAUUUGUCUUGUAGCUUACUCGCUUAUGUUAUUUUACCUACGCUUAGGAUGUUGAGUAGCGACAUACGCAC
Molecule: ribosomal RNA, 773 nt
Filed under: uncultured Neocallimastigales
Lineage: Eukaryota; Fungi; Neocallimastigomycota; Neocallimastigomycetes; Neocallimastigales
Description: partial large subunit ribosomal RNA
Rfam family: Eukaryotic large subunit ribosomal RNA
Source: RNAcentral